Molecule: ribosomal RNA, 2932 nt
Filed under: Escherichia coli
Lineage: Bacteria; Pseudomonadati; Pseudomonadota; Gammaproteobacteria; Enterobacterales; Enterobacteriaceae
Description: bacterial LSU rRNA
Rfam family: Bacterial large subunit ribosomal RNA
Source: RNAcentral
GGGUUGUGAGGUUAAGCGACUAAGCGUACACGGUGGAUGCCCUGGCAGUCAGAGGCGAUGAAGGACGUGCUAAUCUGCGAUAAGCGUCGGUAAGGUGAUAUGAACCGUUAUAACCGGCGAUUUCCGAAUGGGGAAACCCAGUGUGAUUCGUCACACUAUCAUUAACUGAAUCCAUAGGUUAAUGAGGCGAACCGGGGGAACUGAAACAUCUAAGUACCCCGAGGAAAAGAAAUCAACCGAGAUUCCCCCAGUAGCGGCGAGCGAACGGGGAGGAGCCCAGAGCCUGAAUCAGUGUGUGUGUUAGUGGAAGCGUCUGGAAAGGCGCGCGAUACAGGGUGACAGCCCCGUACACAAAAAUGCACAUGCUGUGAGCUCGAUGAGUAGGGCGGGACACGUGGUAUCCUGUCUGAAUAUGGGGGGACCAUCCUCCAAGGCUAAAUACUCCUGACUGACCGAUAGUGAACCAGUACCGUGAGGGAAAGGCGAAAAGAACCCCGGCGAGGGGAGUGAAAAAGAACCUGAAACCGUGUACGUACAAGCAGUGGGAGCACAGAGCAAUCUGUGUGACUGCGUACCUUUUGUAUAAUGGGUCAGCGACUUAUAUUCUGUAGCAAGGUUAACCGAAUAGGGGAGCCGAAGGGAAACCGAGUCUUAACUGGGCGUUAAGUUGCAGGGUAUAGACCCGAAACCCGGUGAUCUAGCCAUGGGCAGGUUGAAGGUUGGGUAACACUAACUGGAGGACCGAACCGACUAAUGUUGAAAAAUUAGCGGAUGACUUGUGGCUGGGGGUGAAAGGCCAAUCAAACCGGGAGAUAGCUGGUUCUCCCCGAAAGCUAUUUAGGUAGCGCCUCGUGAAUUCAUCUCCGGGGGUAGAGCACUGUUUCGGCAAGGGGGUCAUCCCGACUUACCAACCCGAUGCAAACUGCGAAUACCGGAGAAUGUUAUCACGGGAGACACACGGCGGGUGCUAACGUCCGUCGUGAAGAGGGAAACAACCCAGACCGCCAGCUAAGGUCCCAAAGUCAUGGUUAAGUGGGAAACGAUGUGGGAAGGCCCAGACAGCCAGGAUGUUGGCUUAGAAGCAGCCAUCAUUUAAAGAAAGCGUAAUAGCUCACUGGUCGAGUCGGCCUGCGCGGAAGAUGUAACGGGGCUAAACCAUGCACCGAAGCUGCGGCAGCGACACUAUGUGUUGUUGGGUAGGGGAGCGUUCUGUAAGCCUGUGAAGGUGUGCUGUGAGGCAUGCUGGAGGUAUCAGAAGUGCGAAUGCUGACAUAAGUAACGAUAAAGCGGGUGAAAAGCCCGCUCGCCGGAAGACCAAGGGUUCCUGUCCAACGUUAAUCGGGGCAGGGUGAGUCGACCCCUAAGGCGAGGCCGAAAGGCGUAGUCGAUGGGAAACAGGUUAAUAUUCCUGUACUUGGUGUUACUGCGAAGGGGGGACGGAGAAGGCUAUGUUGGCCGGGCGACGGUUGUCCCGGUUUAAGCGUGUAGGCUGGUUUUCCAGGCAAAUCCGGAAAAUCAAGGCUGAGGCGUGAUGACGAGGCACUACGGUGCUGAAGCAACAAAUGCCCUGCUUCCAGGAAAAGCCUCUAAGCAUCAGGUAACAUCAAAUCGUACCCCAAACCGACACAGGUGGUCAGGUAGAGAAUACCAAGGCGCUUGAGAGAACUCGGGUGAAGGAACUAGGCAAAAUGGUGCCGUAACUUCGGGAGAAGGCACGCUGAUAUGUAGGUGAAGCGACUUGCUCGUGGAGCUGAAAUCAGUCGAAGAUACCAGCUGGCUGCAACUGUUUAUUAAAAACACAGCACUGUGCAAACACGAAAGUGGACGUAUACGGUGUGACGCCUGCCCGGUGCCGGAAGGUUAAUUGAUGGGGUUAGCGCAAGCGAAGCUCUUGAUCGAAGCCCCGGUAAACGGCGGCCGUAACUAUAACGGUCCUAAGGUAGCGAAAUUCCUUGUCGGGUAAGUUCCGACCUGCACGAAUGGCGUAAUGAUGGCCAGGCUGUCUCCACCCGAGACUCAGUGAAAUUGAACUCGCUGUGAAGAUGCAGUGUACCCGCGGCAAGACGGAAAGACCCCGUGAACCUUUACUAUAGCUUGACACUGAACAUUGAGCCUUGAUGUGUAGGAUAGGUGGGAGGCUUGGAAGUGUGGACGCCAGUCUGCAUGGAGCCGACCUUGAAAUACCACCCUUUAAUGUUUGAUGUUCUAACGUUGACCCGUAAUCCGGGUUGCGGACAGUGUCUGGUGGGUAGUUUGACUGGGGCGGUCUCCUCCUAAAGAGUAACGGAGGAGCACGAAGGUUGGCUAAUCCUGGUCGGACAUCAGGAGGUUAGUGCAAUGGCAUAAGCCAGCUUGACUGCGAGCGUGACGGCGCGAGCAGGUGCGAAAGCAGGUCAUAGUGAUCCGGUGGUUCUGAAUGGAAGGGCCAUCGCUCAACGGAUAAAAGGUACUCCGGGGAUAACAGGCUGAUACCGCCCAAGAGUUCAUAUCGACGGCGGUGUUUGGCACCUCGAUGUCGGCUCAUCACAUCCUGGGGCUGAAGUAGGUCCCAAGGGUAUGGCUGUUCGCCAUUUAAAGUGGUACGCGAGCUGGGUUUAGAACGUCGUGAGACAGUUCGGUCCCUAUCUGCCGUGGGCGCUGGAGAACUGAGGGGGGCUGCUCCUAGUACGAGAGGACCGGAGUGGACGCAUCACUGGUGUUCGGGUUGUCAUGCCAAUGGCACUGCCCGGUAGCUAAAUGCGGAAGAGAUAAGUGCUGAAAGCAUCUAAGCACGAAACUUGCCCCGAGAUGAGUUCUCCCUGACUCCUUGAGAGUCCUGAAGGAACGUUGAAGACGACGACGUUGAUAGGCCGGGUGUGUAAGCGCAGCGAUGCGUUGAGCUAACCGGUACUAAUGAACCGUGAGGCUUAACCUUACAACGCCGAAGGUGUUU